Molecule: ribosomal RNA, 588 nt
Filed under: uncultured bacterium
Lineage: Bacteria
Description: bacterial SSU rRNA
Rfam family: Bacterial small subunit ribosomal RNA
Source: RNAcentral
CCUACGGGAGGCAGCAGUAGGGAAUCUUCCGCAAUGGACGAAAGUCUGACGGAGCAACGCCGCGUGAACGAUGAAGGCCUUCGGGUCGUAAAGUUCUGUUGUUAGGGAAGAACAAGUGCUAGUUAAAUAAGCUGGCACCUUGACGGUACCUAACCAGAAAGCCACGGCUAACUACGUGCCAGCAGCCGCGGUAAUACGUAGGUGGCAAGCGUUGUCCGGAAUUAUUGGGCGUAAAGCGCGCGCAGGCGGUUUCUUAAGUCUGAUGUGAAAGCCCCCGGCUCAACCGGGGAGGGUCAUUGGAAACUGGGAAACUUGAGUGCAGAAGAGGAAAGUGGAAUUCCAAGUGUAGCGGUGAAAUGCGUAGAGAUUUGGAGGAACACCAGUGGUGAAGGCGACUUUCUGGUCUGUAACUGACGCUGAGGCGCGAAAGCGUGGGGAGCAAACAGGAUUAGAUACCCUGGUAGUCCACGCUGUAAACGAUGAGUGCUAAGUGUUAGAGGGUUUUCCGCCCUUUAGUGCUGAAGUUAACGCAUUAAGCACUCCGCCUGGGGANACGGUCGCAAGACUGAAACCUUAANGAAUUGACGG